This 247-nucleotide long non-coding RNA is filed under the name Elaeis guineensis (African oil palm). Its description in RNAcentral is "long non-coding RNA (EGUI_LNC079977)". Lineage: Eukaryota; Viridiplantae; Streptophyta; Magnoliopsida; Arecales; Arecaceae. The record is from RNAcentral.
CUUGCAACAGACUUUCAAGACACUCUAUUUAAUAUAUAUGUGACAGUUUCUAGGGCAUUAUCCCUAAAAAGAUAUUUGGGAGAUCAAUGAAGCAUAUCAUAGACCACACCAUAUCCAUCACAGUACAAUUCCUCCUUUCUGCUACACCAUCUAACUGAGGCAUAUUAGAAGGGAUCUAUUCAGAGAGAAUACCUUUACUUUUAAGAUGAUCAAGAAAUUCAAUGGAUAAGUAUUCUUUUCCUCAAUC